UAGGGAAUCUUCCGCAAUGGACGAAAGUCUGACGGAGCAACGCCGCGUGAGUGAAGAAGGAUUUCGGUUCGUAAAACUCUGUUGUUAGGGAAGAAAAAAUGUAUAGUAACUAUAUACAAAAGAGACGGUACCUAACCAGAAAGCCACGGCUAACUACGUGCCCGCAGCCGCGGUAAUACGUCGGUGGCAAGCGUUGUCCGUAAUUAUUGGGCGUAAAGCGCGCGCAGGUGGUUUAGAAAGUCUGAUGUGAAACCCCACGGCUCAACCGUGGAGGGUCAUUGGAAACUAAUAAACUUGAGUGCAGGAGAGAAAAGUGGAAUUCCUAGUGUAGCGGUGAAAUGCGUAGAGAUUAGGAGGAAAACCGGUGGCGAAAGCGGCUUUUUGGCCUGCAACUGACACUGAGGCGCGAAAGAGUGGGGGGCAAACAGG
RNAcentral lists this ribosomal RNA (429 nucleotides) under Verrucomicrobiota bacterium. RNAcentral describes it as "Verrucomicrobia bacterium partial 16S ribosomal RNA". It matches the Rfam family "Bacterial small subunit ribosomal RNA", at positions 355 to 776 of the family's 1533-position model. Lineage: Bacteria; Pseudomonadati; Verrucomicrobiota. The record is from RNAcentral.